Non-coding RNA from Nothobranchius furzeri (turquoise killifish), 5537 nucleotides. Lineage: Eukaryota; Metazoa; Chordata; Actinopteri; Cyprinodontiformes; Nothobranchiidae. The record is from RefSeq and is a predicted model, not a curated record.
GAACAUUUAAAGAGACAACGUGUAGUUUUUCCCAUUAAUUUCUGGAAACAUCCAUCAAAAUGUUGUUAAAAGUCAAUGAAAUGAUGCCCAGUUGUUGAAAGAUAUUGGUGGCUUCGUAACAUAUAACCAUAAAACCAGCUCAGUGACCUAGUGGUAGAGUGUCCGCCCUGAGACUGGGAGAUCAGGGUUCGAUUCCUGGUCGGGUCAUACCAACGACUUUGAAAAAAUGGGACCCAAUGCCUCCCUGCUUGACACUCAGCAUUAAGGGGUUGGAUUGGGGGUUAAACCACCAAAUAGUUCCCGAGCGCGGCUGUGUCUGCAGUUCGCCGCUCCCCCAGGGGAUGGGUCAAAUACGGAGAACAAAUUUCGCACACACAUCAGUGUGUGUGACAACUAAUGGGACUUUAACUUUAACUUAAAAAUCAGGUCUACAACACAUAGGAGCGGGUCUAAGUCUCUGGGCGAUGCCAUUAUAGACGCCAUGUUUCCUUCUACGGGAAGCCGUGAGGACAAAAUGCGUUUACUGAUUUGUAACAAAUGGUUACGAAACUUUUGUCAUUCUUAAACGUUUUACAUAUUUAUCUCCACUUGAUGCCAGUGAUGGAAGGGAGUCUAAUGUGCUCGUUAUUUUUGCUGAAGUUUGCACUCCCCAGGGCUUUUUGACCCUAAUAGGCAUCCGUAGGUAAGGCCUUAUUCCAACACAAAAAUGCUGCUCGCUUGCAACGAUUUAGGAAUCUACUGCCCCCAUCACCAGGAAAAAUACACACUGUCACUUUAAGAAAAUAAUCAUUGGAUGUGCACUAGAGGUCGAUCGAUGUUGGUUUUUCUAUUGCUGAUUUCCGUAGCCGAUAUUUGGAUGUUUUCCACCUUAUUUUCAUGCAAAAAUAUCACUAAUAACAUCAGCUGAUGUGCAAGAGUUCUAAAGCUAAAUCAGUUUCUGAACUCUGAAUUUAACUUAUUGUUAAAUCUUAGCUUUUUGCACUUCUCAGUGUUAAGCCUGGGGCACACCGGAGGCAGACGCGCCGUGCUGCAUCACGUGCGCCUGCCAUUUUGAGAAGUCAAAUGGUCACACAGGAUGCGCCGCGCUGCUGAGCACUUCUUGGAAAGUAGUCACAACAUCACGUGGGACUUGAGAACAGGAAGCGGGAAGUAACUCUACACGUGAUCAAGCUUGAAGUCAUGUUUUGUGAGACUGUAAUUCAUUAACAGUGGGUAAGUACGCUAUUUAUUCAAAUAUUUUAAGAUCAAUGGUACUAGUGAUCAAAACUGAGGCUGGGUUUGUGCCGGCGGUUGGGUUUGUGCCGUAAAGCGUUCUGCGUCGUAAUGUCUGUUGUAAAGCACUUCACAAUGUUGUAAACAGCUAGCCUGGCCCGCCAGACUCCUCCUCUUUAGUUCUGCACAGAGAAAGGGUCUGGGAAAUCUCCUGUUCAAAUAACCCCACCCCCUGAGAAUUCUAACCGAGCCAGUCAGCACUGAGUAUCGUACGUCACACACCACAACGCUGAGUUUGUCAUAAACAUGGCGACUGAAGCGGAGUUCGCUGCGGCUCUUUCCCCUGUUCUAAAUGACUUGGACACGUCUUUAAAACAACAAGUAGAAGCCCCAAAAGCCUUUCUUCCAAAGAAAGAUGUCUGCGCUGUCGCCAGACGCCAUUUUUGACUACAGCUAAAAAACUACAGCGUCACGCGGUACAGUCAGCUUUUCCGUCUUUUUUCUGAUUGGUUAUUUGUGAGCUGGCCAGUCCCGCCCCUCAUGUGCCACUCUGCCUGUGAGUAACCAGACUCUUUCUCUGCGGAAUUAAACAGAGGACUCGUCUGGCAGGCCAGGCUAGUAAACAGCCGCGGUGCUUGAGAUGGAACUGGUGCCUAUCUUCAGCACCUUGGCGCGGCGCGGCGCGGCGCUCCCCGUGUGCUCACUGUCAAUAACUAUAAUGGCUUCUAUCUAAAAUGAUGGUGCAACGCGGCACGUCUGCCUAUAGUGUGCCCCAGGCUUUAGAGUUAGACACCUAAAUAUGUCAUGGUCCGUGGUGAGCUGACUGCCUGUAACCUGGCUUUUUCCUCUGAGCAUUGUUUCCACAGGUGGGCAUGUCUGAGAGCUCCAGCUGCAGCUGAUCUCCUCAUCAAGGCCCAGGGGAUUUAAGGAGCAGUGCGACACUUCACCACGCCGGAUGAUUACUCUGUUUGGGUUCCUCUCAAUCCCUCACCAGCUCCAGAACAAACCCGGAUCUCAGUCUACCUGACGCACUGCUUCAUCCCCUGGCCGCCCGCUCUCAGCCGCUCACCUACCAACAUCCAUUCCUGCUCCUCCACCUCUGGACAACCAAUACCUUACCUUUGGAUCUCCUCAGCUCACCCGGACCAGACAAUCCUUCCUGUACAAUUACCACUACCAAAAUCUCAUCCUGGAUUCCUGCUGCCAGUCCUGCAUCUCGUUGGUUCCUGUCUCUUACUUUCUCCUUAUUUAGUAAUAAAAGCCUUUUUACUUACAUCCCUGCUCUCCGUGUUGUGAUUCUGCAUGUCGUGGGUCAAGAAAUUGCCACCCACCAUGACAAAAUAAAGUUAAUUUAGAGUAUUUAUUAUGCAUUAAUUUAUUAGUGAUUGUAAAAAUACAUUAAAAUGAAAGACUUUGAAAUCGUAUGUUUUAAGCUAAUAUUUCCUAAGACAAAACAUGUGUUUAUAGAGGCAGUAGAGACCCACACGGCAGCACAAAAGGUGAGUUUUGCAUAAUAUGUCUCAUUUAAAAAUAUUUAAGCACAUCAAAAAAACUAUUAAAAACAAGCCCAAACAUAACAGUUUCAGACUGACAACCUCUGCUUUAAAGGAGCUGAUGCACGUGCUCCUAUUUGGAGGUUGUAAAUGAACGGAAACCAAAGACUUCUGAGAGUUUAGGGACUUUUGUUUUGGCCACUUAAAGGAGAAGAGGAGUGAGAUAAGAAAUGAACACUCAACAGUUGAUCCAGCAGUUUUAUUUAUUUAUUUAUUUAUUGCUGUCCAUGCAGACAGCUACCCUCUUUGUACUCAUGGCUGCAACUCCAUGUAUCCCUAUCGUAAAACAUCAGCACUUGGUGGUGGCUGUUAACAUCUCCCAACACUAAUGCCCCCCACACUUUGCCUUGGGAACUCUCGGACCAUUGUCCUUCACCUUGAUGCAGGACGUGGUGAAAGCGAGAGAGGACAAAAAGCCUGGCAGGUUUCUCAUGCUGCUGCUUUGUGGAGCUUCGCCAGGGAAAAAGAGGUUGGGGCUGACCGAGGGAAGCGGGCUACAGGUAAACUGUGGCCAACACAAAAGAAACAAAACCAGGAUUGUGAAGUUGAAUAGCCACACAUCUCUGCAUUUGACAUCUGAAGCCUGUGGUUACCGACGGAGAGCUGGGAUUUGGUUUCACCUCACCAGAACAACACCACAUUCAAUCUGUAGCCCUGGUAACAAUUGGUUCAUCUGCUGUUCAGGGAAAAGUUUGGAAAGUGUACUCCUGGCUAGAAUAGAUGUAACAAGCCUUUUGCAAAGUUAAAUUCACAUUCAUUUUUAUCCUUAUUGUCAUUCAACAGCCUGUCACAGAAACUCAGGAAAGCCUAAAUUAAAAUCAUGGUUAAACACCUAAAUUAAUAUUGGAUCAGCAUUCAUGAGCCCCACAAUCUCAUAAUUAAGUAGUAUUUUGAUUUUGUUAUUCUGGAUUUGAGGCAGUCAAGUCUUCUGCCUGAAGAAAGUAUGGUGAAUAGUGUGUGAGCAGGAUUUAUAGCUAUUAGUCGGCCAAUACAUCGGGCCAAUGUUUACCGUUUUUUAUGCAUCAGCUGAUAUUUGUCCUUGUAAAGCUGAUUUGAAGUCAGGCACGUCCUCGGGCAGCCCGGUGCUGUUGCAGAAUUUAAUUCAAAUAUAUUUUUUCAUUCACCAAAAACAUCCACAUAAUAAAUACUCUAAAUUUACAUUAUUAAGGUGUCUAACUCUAACACUGAGCAGUGAGCAACAGUUUUUAAUUUGACAGUUCAAAAGCUGAUUAAGCUUCAGCAAUUUUGUGCAUCAACUGACAUUUUAUCAUGAAAAUAAGGUGGAAAACAUUCAGAUACUGACCAUGGAAAUUGGCCCAUGAAAAACGGCAGUACAUAUGGGCCAUGUGUCUCCAUCGGCAUCGGUAUUGGCAAUAGAAAAACCAAUAUCGGUUGACCUCUGGAAGGACCUACCUCACUGAUGAAACAUUGAUGACUUAUAUAUAUAUAUUUUUAUGUUAAAUCAAAUUAAACACAUUGUGUGCUGAGACAGAUGACAAUCUUUGUCUUUGUUCAAGUCAAGAGUGAAGUGUUUGCCCAGUUUUUCCUGUUUCAGAGGAUUUUGUUUCAAAUGUGCUUGUAGAGCAUUUAUGACCAACACUUUAUUUCAGAGUCAGUUUGCAGGUUAAAAAACUGCAAGAAUAAUCUUCGUUAUUCUGUUUGAAGUGAAAGUGCAUACAGCGACAGUGGCAUGCCGUGGUUCACAAAUAGAAAGAACAUCUUCUGCAGGGGUCGGUGUCUUUAGUUUGUGACGAUCUACCCAGGAGGCCUGAUGGAUUGGAGGCUGCUGCUGGGUUUCAUCCAGUCAUCUGACUCUGUGCCAGAUCUUAUACCUGCAGCCUUCGUCAUUCUCUUAAGUCUCAACUCCUGGUUAAAAAAUAUAUAUAAUCAGUGAGUUAGGAUGGAUGCUUGAUGAAUGAAGAGGUAUCUUGAUGGGUGUUUGUGACUGAAGGAAUCAGUAUCGAGGGCUGCAGAGUCAUUUCCACCUGUCCUUAAUCUGAGCUUCGUGUGGUGUACUAAUCCAGCUAAACAUUCUGCUGCUUCAAAAGAGCUUAUAAUCUUUCCUGCGCUGAAAGUCACCCAGCAGCUGCAUGUUCAGUGUAAAGGAAUCAGAAAGGUUGGGAAGCUUCCGCACCGUUCAGGAAAACUAAACUGAAGUGUUUUAGGAGCCAAAAUACCACAUGAGCAGAAAGCAGUAAACUGUUCUGAUGGUUUUGGGGAGAAUUUUUAUACACACAUGUAAUCUAUAAAGAUGCAGCUUGCUGGAAAACAACAUUUUUUUUCUCGAGUUUUGUCAGCGAGGCCAAUACUUGAUUGAUUUAAUAAACCAAUAUUAAAUCAAAUAAAAUGUUGUUUAACAUCCAGUAUUGCAGAGACCCUCUUCCAUCAGUUUGAGUUCUCCAUUGUUUUUGAGAGGAUGCACCAGAUCUUUAGACAAUAGCGCUUCUCUUAAACCAGGGGAGCCUCGUCCUAUUGUCCUACCUUCUAUUGUGGAGCUCCUAACAGAACACUGUCAGUCUUUGUUUUUGCAUGGAUCAGCUGUGCAGCCAUGUUUUUUACGCUCUACUGAGUCCCAUGUGGCUGCCAUGCCCUACAAAUCACCAUAAUAAAGUUAAGGACAGUGCUGUUACAGUUGAUAAUGGAAAGGCAAAUAUGUUUCACCGGUUGAAUGUUGGGCACUGAAGGGCUGCACAUGUGUGUGCAGGAUUCACAGCAGGCUAUACUCCAGACUCAUCUGAUUGCCAACUCCCUGUAACAGUAAUUUACAUUUUA